GUUCCUAAACCACCUUAUUCCCCAAGCCCUAAACCGCCUUACGUGCCAAAACCACCUCAUACUCCAGUCCCUAGGCCACCAUAUUUCCCCAAACCACCUUACACACCAAGGCCUAAGCCACCAUAUGCGCCAAAACCACCUUAUACGCCAACCCCUAAGCCACCAUAUUUCCCCAAACCACCUUACACACCAAGGCCGAAGCCACCAUAUGUGCCAAAACCACCUUAUACGCCAGCCCCUAAGCCACCAUAUUUUCCCAAACCACCUUACACACCAAGGCCUAAGCCACCAUAUGCACCAAAACCACCUUAUACGCCAACACCUAAGCCACCAUAUUUCCCCAAACCACCUUACACACCAAGGCCUAAGCCACCGUACGUGCCAAAACCACCGUACACACCAAGGCCUAAGCCACCGUACGUGCCAAAACCACCAUACACACCAACCCCUAAGCCACCGUACGUGCCAAAACCACCUUACACCCCAACCCCUAAGCCACCGUACGUG
RNAcentral lists this long non-coding RNA (507 nucleotides) under Citrus x clementina. Its description in RNAcentral is "Citrus clementina (C. clementina) long non-coding RNA (CCLE_LNC002016)". Lineage: Eukaryota; Viridiplantae; Streptophyta; Magnoliopsida; Sapindales; Rutaceae. The record is from RNAcentral.